Molecule: ribosomal RNA, 617 nt
Filed under: Janthinobacterium sp. FT14W
Lineage: Bacteria; Pseudomonadati; Pseudomonadota; Betaproteobacteria; Burkholderiales; Oxalobacteraceae
Description: partial 23S ribosomal RNA
Rfam family: Bacterial large subunit ribosomal RNA
Source: RNAcentral
GGCUAAAACAGUCAGGAUGUUGGCUUAGAAGCAGCCAUCAUUUAAAGAAAGCGUAAUAGCUCACUGAUCGAGUCGUCCUGCGCGGAAGAUGUAACGGGGCUAAGCCAGUCACCGAAGCUGCGGAUAUGCGUAAGCAUAUGGUAGGAGAGCGUUCUGUAAGCCUGCGAAGGUGUCUUGUAAAGGAUGCUGGAGGUAUCAGAAGUGCGAAUGCUGACAUGAGUAGCGAUAAUGGGGGUGAAAAGCCUCCACGCCGUAAGCCCAAGGUUUCCUGUUCAACGUUCAUCGGAGCAGGGUGAGUCGGCCCCUAAGGCGAGGCAGAGAUGCGUAGCUGAUGGGAAGCAGGUUAAUAUUCCUGCACCGUCGUAUGAUGCGAUGGGGGGACGGAUCGCGGAAGGUUGUCUGACUGUUGGAAUAGUCAGUUUCUGUCUCAUAGAAGGUACUUAGGCAAAUCCGGGUACGGAAUUCAAGGGGAUGGGACGAGUGAACUUGUUCACGAAGCAAUCGGAAGUGGUUCCAAGAAAAGCCUCUAAGCUUCAGUCAUACGAGACCGUACCGCAAACCGACACAGGUGGGCGAGAUGAGUAUUCUAAGGCGCUUGAGAGAACUCGGGAGAAGGA